RNAcentral lists this ribosomal RNA (375 nucleotides) under uncultured organism. RNAcentral's name for it is "partial 16S ribosomal RNA". It matches the Rfam family "Bacterial small subunit ribosomal RNA", at positions 527 to 896 of the family's 1533-position model. The record is from RNAcentral.
GGAGGGUGCAAGCGUUGUUCGGAAUUACUGGGCGUAAAGAGCGUGUAGGCGGUUUGGUAAGUCAGAUGUGAAAGCCCUGGGCUCAACCCGGGAAGUGCAUUUGAAACUGCCAUGCUAGAGUAUGGGAGGGGAGAGUGGAAUUCCUAGUGUAGAGGUGAAAUUCGUAGAUAUUAGGAGGAACAUCCGUGGCGAAGGCGACUCUCUGGACCAAUACUGACGCUGAGACGCGAAAGCGUGGGGAGCGAACAGGGAUUAGAUACCCUGGUAGUCCACGCCGUAAACGAUGAGAACUAGGUGUAGCGGGUAUUGACCCCCCCUGCUGUGCCGAAGUUAACGCAUUAAGUUCUCCGCCUGGGGAGUACGGUCGCAAGAUUA